GAUGAACGCUGGCGGCGUGCCUAAUACAUGCAAGUCGAGCGAACAGACGAGGAUCUCUCUCCUCUGAAGUUACCGGCGGACGGGUAAGUAACACGUGAAUAACCUACCUCUAAGACUUGGAUAACUUCGGGAAACCCGAGCUAAUACCGGAUCAUAUAUUUAACCUCAUUGUUCAAUAGUGAAUGACGUUUUUGAUGUCACUUAUACAUGGAUCCUCGCUGCAUUAGCUAUGUGGUAAGGUAACGGCUUACCAAGGCGACGAUGCGUAGCCGACCUGUGGGGGGGUUCGGCCACACUGGAGCUGGGAGACGAUCCAGGCACUGAGGGAAGGCAGCAGUAGGGAAUCUUCCGAACUGGGCGAAAGCUUGACGGAGCAACGCAAGGUGAGUGAUGAGGGGCUGCGGGUCGUAAAACGCUGUUAUGAGGGAAGAACACAUGUGUAAGUGACGAUGCACGUCUGGACGGAACUUAAUAAGAAAGCCACGGUGAAUUCGGU
RNAcentral lists this ribosomal RNA (496 nucleotides) under uncultured bacterium. RNAcentral's name for it is "partial 16S ribosomal RNA". It matches the Rfam family "Bacterial small subunit ribosomal RNA", at positions 28 to 506 of the family's 1533-position model. The record is from RNAcentral.